UUAUUUAUUGUUGUUGUUGUUUGUUUUGUUCUUAAUAUUUUUGUUUUAAAUAAGUUGUGUGUUACUCUAUAUGUUACAGAUAAAGGACAUUCGUGCCGGAUGAACGAUGAAGCUUGGAAUGAUUGGAUGGAAGACACACCCCUCUACUUUCUCUUCUGGAAACCCCCAAAGAUUGAUGUCACCGACUCAAAAAAUUGGACGCGACUCUUUGUCACUGGAUUUUGU
Molecule: long non-coding RNA, 225 nt
Filed under: Lathyrus oleraceus (garden pea)
Lineage: Eukaryota; Viridiplantae; Streptophyta; Magnoliopsida; Fabales; Fabaceae
Description: Pisum sativum (pea) long non-coding RNA (PSAT_LNC012863)
Source: RNAcentral